This is a non-coding RNA of Oryctolagus cuniculus (rabbit), 4358 nucleotides long. NCBI's taxonomy places the organism in Eukaryota, Metazoa, Chordata, Mammalia, Lagomorpha, Leporidae. The record is from RefSeq and is a predicted model, not a curated record.
CUUAACUUUCCUUUUGAUCUGGGAGGGCCCUUAACUUUCCCUUUUGAAGCUCCCAGCCUCAAGUCAAGCACACAGACACGGUGAGUGAGAGAGGAGUCCAUGAUGAAUUCCAGAUAGAUGAUGAGGAAGAAUGUGGGUGUGCAUUAGGAGGAAGUUGGAUCAGAGUGGAGUAGUGGAACUUGGACCAGGCAUGCUGAUGUGAGAUGUGGGCAUUCCAAGUAGCAAAGUGGCGACUCUUCUGCUGUACCAGACACCCACCCCUUCAUGAACUUUUUGAAAUGCCCUAGUACGUUAUGUCAUUCAAUCUUCACAAGGACCUUGGGAGGAGCUUGCAAUCUAAUGAAGAAUUGAGAUGUCAGAAAAUGGUACAAAGUAAACAAAAGAAAAGAGUGUAGAGGAAAAAGGGAUAAGAUACCAAAAGAAGGUGACAGGAAAUCUAUUUGUUGUUUAGAUCAAGAAGUCUUGUGCUUGGACGAAUGAUGAUUUGCCCUUUCAGUCUAUGAAGAGGAGCCAGAUAAACUGCUGAAAUAGAUGAGGAUGUUACAUGAGCCCAUGAACUGAAUCCGCACUCUCCAGGAGUGAAUAAUGAGAUAGUUAAAGUUUCAUGUUACUACAGGUCUUUGUUGUGCUAUGGUAUGCAGAUUUUCUCACAAAACAGUAUAGGCCAAAUCCAAGAGACACAAGGAUAAUGUAUAAAAAGGAGGAGUUAUUUUAUUAAAGCUUAAUAGCAUCAUUCAGCUACAGAAGGAAUGUGAGCAUUUAAAAAGUUUAAAGACGGGGCCGGCGCCGCGGCUCACUAGGCUAAUCCUCCACCUUGCGGCACCGGCACACCGGGUUCUAGUCCCGGUCGGGGCGCCGGAUUCUGUCCCGGUUGCCCCUCUUCCAGGCCAGCUCUCUGCUGUGGCCCGGGAGUGCAGUGGAGGAUGGCCCAAGUGCUUGGGCCCUGCACCCCAUGGGAGACCAGGAAAAGCACCUGGCUCCUGCCUUUGGAUCAGCGCGGUACGCCGGCCGCAGCAGCCAUUGGAGGGUGAACCAACCGCAAAGGAAGACCUUUCUCUCUCUCUCUCUCUCUCACACUAUCCACUCUGCCUGUCAAAAAAAAAAAAAAAAGUUAAAGACGGUGUAGGCACUUGGUCUACAGUUAAUAUAUCCACAUCCCAUAUGAAAGUGCGCGGGUUCAGUUCCCAGCUCUAGCACUAACUCCAGCUUUGUGCUACUGCAGUCCCUGGGAAGCAGCCAUGGUGAAUCAAGUAAUCAGGUUCCUCUCAUUCACCUGGAUGGUACGGGUCAUGUUUUUGGAUGGCUUUGACCUUGCUUGUCAUGGGCAUCUGAAGAAUGAACCAGCAGAUGGAAGCCAUUUGUCUCUCUCUUUCUCUCUGCCUUUCAAAUUAAUCAAUUACUUACAUUUAAUAAAAGCAUACAGAGAAUGAGCAAGAUAAGUUGGUAUGGAUACCAAGAAAAUAAGAAUGGGACAUAAAGAACAGUAUAACAUCACUGAAGAUAUGACGUAUAGAAAAGGCAUACAUUAUGAAAGGGAAGAAAAUGUAACAGCUGCAGAUUAAGCUUCAUAUUCCACCUCUCCAAGAUAAAACAAAUCAUGCUAAAGAAACGUGAUUUGGGGCUGGCACAGUAGAUUAAUCCUCCGUCUGUGGCGCUGGCAUCCCAUACGGGCGCUGGUUCUAGUCCCAGCCCCUCCUCUUCCAAUCCAGCUCUCUGCUGUGGCCUGGGAGAGCAGUAGAAGAUGGUCUAAGUGCUUGGGUCCCUGCACCUGCAUGGGAGACCGGGAAGAAGCACCUGGCUCUUGGCUUUGGAUCAGUGCCAUCUCCAGCCAUUGCGGCCAUUGGGGGAUGAACCAGCGGAAGGAAGACCUUUCUGUCUCUCCCUCUCACUGUCUGUAACUCUACCUCUCAAAUAAAUAUAUAAAAAUCUUUUUUUAAAAAAUAGUUGAUUUGUAAAUAUAGAAGAGAUAUCUUUCCAGAGAGUUAGAUGAAGGUUAUCAGCUUUUCACCAAGAUGGCACUGAAGGCAAAGAAGGAAGCUCCUGCCCCUACCAAAGCUCAAGCCGAGGCAAAGGCUUUAAAGACCAGGAAGGCAGUGCUGAAGGGCAUCCACUGCCACAAAAAAUAAAAAUAAAGAAAUCUGCAUAUCAUCCACAUUCUAGCCAUCCAAAAUGCUACACUUCGGCAGCCCAAAUCUCCUUAGCAGAGUACCCCCAGGAGAAACAAGCUUGACCACUAUGCCAUCAUCAAGUUCCUCCUGACCACUGAGUCAGUCAUGAAAAAGAUAGAAGACAACAACACACUCAUGCUCAUUGUGGAUGUCAAGGUCAACAAGCACCGGUUCAAACAGGCUGUGAAGAAAUGUGACCUUGAUGUGGCCAAAGUCAACACCCUGAUCAGGCCUGACAGAGAGAAGGCGGCCUAAGUUCUACUGGCUCCUGAUUAGGAUUCUUUGAAUGCCCUGCUGGCUAAUUCUAAGUGUAUGUUUUUUUCACCAUAAAAAAAGAUUAUUGGGAGCCGGCAUUGUGGCACAGGGGGUAAAGCUGCCUCCUGCAGUGCCAGCAUCCCAUAUGGGUGUUGGUUUGAUUCCCAGCUGCUUCUCUACCAAUCUAGUUUCCUGCUAAUGAACCUGGGAACACGGCGGAAGAUGGCCCAAGUGCUUGGGCCCCUGCACCCACAUGGGAGACCCGGAAGAAGCUGCUAGUUCCUGGCUUUGGACCAGACCAGCUCUGGCCAUUGCGGCCAUUUGGGGAGUAAACCAGUAGAUGGAAUAUCUCUCUAUCUCUCCCUCUACCUCUAACUCUAACUUCACCUUUCAAAUAAAUAAAAUAAAUCUUAAAAAAGAAAAAUUAUCAAAUAAAUGUUAACAUUUGAAGGCCUAAAAAUUAUAACAUGUAAUUAUCAUAGAAUUCUUAAAGGAAUAUAUAUAUACACGGCCGGUGCUGUGGCAUAGCCAGUGGGGCUGCUGCCUGCAGUGCCAGCAUCCCAUGUGGGUGCCAAUCAAGUUCCAGCUGUUCUACUUCUGGUCCAGCUCUCUGCUGUAGCCUGGGAAAGCAGUGGAAGAUGGCCCAAGUCCUUGGGCCCCUGCACCCACAUGAGAGGCCCAGGGGAAGCUCCUGGCUCCUGGCGUCAGAUCUGCACAGUUCCAGCUGUUGUGGCCACUUGAGGAAUGAACCAGAGGAUGGAAGACUCUCUCUCUCUCUCUUUGCCUCUGCCUCUCUGUAAUUCUGCCUUUCAAAUAAAUAAAUAAAUCUUUAAUAUAUAUAUAUAUAUAAUAAAUAUAAAAUAAUGAACCUGAAUAUUGAAAUAGUCUUUAAGAGCCUACAGGAAAUAAAAGAAUAAACACAACUAGUUUAUAUUAAUAUAAUGCAAGCUAUAAGUAUCUUAAAAUGUUUUGUUUAACAAAUAAUGAUUCUGUAAUGAAGAUGUUCAGAAUAUGGAAGCAACUACCAUUGCGUGGGUUGUGAAUAAGUGUUUUGCAGUGACUAAUCAAAAUUAAGGGAAAGAAGUGAAUCAUAGUUCUAAAGAAAGAGCUUACAGGUCUUAUUUACAGAAAGAAAGAAAGAUGAACAAAUCACCAUCAUGAAAAUAGACUCAGAAAGCAAAAAUAUGAAGAACUGUAGAUAUGUAAGAAGUCAGGAGAACUGGGCAUAUAUGAGCAUAAAAACUGAAUUUAUGAUCAAUGGAAUUUUUCUGUUUUCAUGAUGGAUGGACAGUUAUAAAUAGAUGUAAAAUAUAAGUAUAUUUGAAAUAAAACAUACGAAAACCAAAUGAGUUAAUGGAGAUGAAAUUGCUUUAAAACGUAUUGGCCUGUGCUCACUUCGGCAUUACAUAUAUUAAAAAAGUAUUGGCCGUUAGACAAAGAAAAGGCUUUACUUAACUGAAGCAUAGCAGUCAUGGGCUUUCUCAAGCCCAGAGAGGAAACAAGCAUUUAACUGGCUCUGCUCAGUUCCCAUAAAACAUAGCAGUCAGUGGGGGCUUCUCAAUGAUGAUAACCUUCUCAAACUUCAGUGCUGUCUGGAAAAAAAAGAACCUCUUUGUUGUACAAAAUCUUCAAUUGGUAUUUUCUUUUUUAAAAUUUUUUUUAAAAGUGUAUUUAUUUGAGAGGUAGAGUCCAGACAAAUAGAGGGAGAGACAAAGGUCUUCCAUCUACUGGUUCACUCUCCAAAUGUCCGCAAUGGCCAUAGCUGGGCCUGUCUGAAACCAGUGACCAUAAGUUUCCUCCAGGUCUCCCACAUGGGUGCAGAAACCCAAGCACUUGGGCCAUCUUCCACUGAUUUCCCAAGCCAUAAGCUGGAGCUGGAUCAGAAGAGGAGCACACGGGACAUGAAUCUACCCAUAUGGGAUGCCGGUGAUGCAG